This 492-nucleotide ribosomal RNA is filed under the name uncultured bacterium. Its description in RNAcentral is "partial 16S ribosomal RNA". It matches the Rfam family "Bacterial small subunit ribosomal RNA", at positions 29 to 507 of the family's 1533-position model. The record is from RNAcentral.
AGUGAACGCUGGCGGUAGGCCUAACACAUGCAAGUCGAACGGCAGCACAGUAAGAGCUUGCUCUUACGGGUGGCGAGUGGCGGACGGGCGAGGAAUACAUCGGAAUCUACUUUUUCGUGGGGGAUAACGUAGGGAAACUUACUCUAAUACCGCAUACGACCUACGGUUGAAAGCAGUGGAUCUUCGGACCUUUCGCGAUUGUAUGAGCCGAUGUCGGAUUAGCUAGUUGGCGGGGUAAAGGCCCACCAAGGCGACGAUCCGUAGCUGGUCUGAGAGGAUGAUCAGAGACACGGGAACUGAGACACGGUCAAGAGGCCUACGGGAGGGAGAAGUGGGGAAUAUGGGACAAUGGGGGCAAGGAGGAUCCAGCAAUACCGCGUGGGUGAAGAAGGCGUUGGGGUUGUAAAGCCCUUUUGUUGGGAAAGAAAAGCAGCAGGUUAAUACCCCGAUGUUCUGACGGUAACCAAAGAAUAAGCACCGGCUAACUUCGUG